Molecule: long non-coding RNA, 447 nt
Organism: Daphnia pulicaria
Lineage: Eukaryota; Metazoa; Arthropoda; Branchiopoda; Diplostraca; Daphniidae
Exons: 3
Source: RefSeq, a predicted model, not a curated record
AACUUGAAAGUAUUUGUGUAAAGAAUAAGAAGUUUUUCAACUUUGAUGAUAGCCAAUGGCCACAUUUGAUUAUUGAUCUACUUUAUUCUCACAGAGAAAAAGCCAUCUACUAGUAUUUUUAUUCAAGCAUAAUUUAUAAGAAGAAGACCUCAGGUUAUUAUCACGAGGAACAGCGACGAAACGAAGAAAUGGCUUGGGGAAGAAGUAAUGAAAUAAGACCUUGAAUUGGUCGUCGACUCGGUGUUUUCUUUUCAAGUUUACGUUUUGAUGCCAUCUAUAAUGAAAGAUAUGAAUACCAGCGGUGAUAAUCUAAAUCCGACCAACAAACCUAAGCCCAAAGCGACGCGACCCAAGCCAGUUUACUUAUGGACCACAUCUGAUGUUCAAAAAUGGUUUCGACGUCAUUGCAGCGAUUUUUACACAGUGUACAGUGACUUGAUGAUUCAG